RNAcentral lists this ribosomal RNA (254 nucleotides) under uncultured bacterium. RNAcentral's name for it is "partial 16S ribosomal RNA". It matches the Rfam family "Bacterial small subunit ribosomal RNA", at positions 524 to 776 of the family's 1533-position model. The record is from RNAcentral.
UACAGAGGGUGCGAACGUUUGUUCGGAUUUACUGGGCGUAAAGCGCGUGUAGGCGGUCCGGUAAGUCCGCUGUGAAAGUCGGGGGCUUAACCCUCGGAUGCCGGUGGAUACUGUCGGGCUUGAGUACGGAAGAGGCGAGUGGAAUUCCUGGUGUAGCGGUGAAAUGCGCAGAUAUCAGGAGGAACACCAAUUGCGAAGGCAGCUCGCUGGGACGUUACUGACGCUGAGACGCGAAAGCGUGGGGAGCAAACAGG